Molecule: transfer RNA, 82 nt
Filed under: Spirochaetia bacterium
Lineage: Bacteria; Pseudomonadati; Spirochaetota; Spirochaetia
Description: tRNA-Tyr
Rfam family: tRNA
About the family: Transfer RNA (tRNA) molecules are approximately 80 nucleotides in length. Their secondary structure includes four short double-helical elements and three loops (D, anti-codon, and T loops).
Source: RNAcentral
GGGCAGUUUCCCGAGCGGUCAAAGGGGGCAGACUGUAAAUCUGUUGGCUCAGCCUUCGUAGGUUCGAAUCCUUCACUGCCCA